CAGGUACAGAGGGAUGCUACCGGGCGACCGGAUGCGGAUCUCGAAAGCCUGUCCCAGUUCGGACUGGAGUCUGCAACCCGACUCCACGAAGUUGGAUUCGCUAGUAAUCGCGCAUCAGCCAUGGCGCGGUGAAUACGUUCCCGGGCCUUGUACACACCGCCCGUCAAGCCAUGGGAGCCGGGGGCGCCUGAAGUCCGGGACCGCGAGGACCGGCCUAGGGCGAAACUGGUAACUGGGGCUAAGUCGUAACAAGGUACC
RNAcentral lists this ribosomal RNA (258 nucleotides) under uncultured bacterium. Its description in RNAcentral is "partial 16S ribosomal RNA". It matches the Rfam family "Bacterial small subunit ribosomal RNA", at positions 1234 to 1500 of the family's 1533-position model. The record is from RNAcentral.